This 292-nucleotide ribosomal RNA is filed under the name uncultured bacterium. RNAcentral's name for it is "partial 16S ribosomal RNA". It matches the Rfam family "Bacterial small subunit ribosomal RNA", at positions 505 to 796 of the family's 1533-position model. The record is from RNAcentral.
GUGCCAGCCGCCGCGGUAAGACAGAGGGUGCAAACGUUGUUCGGAAUUACUGGGCGUAAAGCGCGUGUAGGCGGCUCGGAAAGUCGGGUGUGAAAGCCCUGGGCUCAACCCAGGAAGUGCACUCGAAACUCCCGAGCUCGAGUCCCGGAGAGGAAAGUGGAAUUCUCGGUGUAGAGGUGAAAUUCGUAGAUAUCGAGAGGAACAUCUGUGGCGAAGGCGGCUUUCUGGACGGUGACUGACGCUGAGACGCGAAAGCGUGGGGAGCAAACAGGAUUAGAUACCCUGGUAGUCC